GGUUAGUACUAUUGCCUAUUGUGCUAUUUUCUUUCUUUGAAUUUAAUUUCUCUGUUUUGAGCUCUUAAAAUAGUUUUUGUGAUCGAGAUAUUUUUUUUUAUUAUUAUCAGAAUGGUAGUUUGGGUGUUUAUGUUGGGAAUUGUUUCUCACCUCUACAUGAAAUGUGUUGUUUUUUUGGCUUCAUAUGUGAAAACUGGCUUUGUUUGGUUUUUGUUGCCUUAUUCAUACUUUUUUUUCCUGCUUUUGAACUGAGGUGCUUCUUGUUUCCUUUUUUUGGAGCACAUGUUGAAUGUCAGAUUGUUAAAAUUUGUAAAUAUGAUUUGCAUGAUGUCAAGCUAAUGUGAAGUGCCAAUU
RNAcentral lists this unclassified non-coding RNA (354 nucleotides) under Hevea brasiliensis (rubber tree). Lineage: Eukaryota; Viridiplantae; Streptophyta; Magnoliopsida; Malpighiales; Euphorbiaceae. The record is from RNAcentral.